This 76-nucleotide transfer RNA is filed under the name bioreactor metagenome. Its description in RNAcentral is "tRNA-Arg". It matches the Rfam family "tRNA". From Rfam's summary of the family: Transfer RNA (tRNA) molecules are approximately 80 nucleotides in length. Their secondary structure includes four short double-helical elements and three loops (D, anti-codon, and T loops). The record is from RNAcentral.
UGGAUCAGUAGCUCAGUUGGAUAGAGCAACGGCCUUCUAAGCCGUGGGUCGAGGGUUCGAAUCCCCCCUGGUUCAU